RNAcentral lists this ribosomal RNA (500 nucleotides) under uncultured bacterium. Its description in RNAcentral is "partial 16S ribosomal RNA". It matches the Rfam family "Bacterial small subunit ribosomal RNA", at positions 30 to 523 of the family's 1533-position model. The record is from RNAcentral.
AUUGAACGCUGGCGGAAUGCUUUACACAUGCAAGUCGAACGGCAGCACGGACUUCGGUCUGGUGGCGAGUGGCGAACGGGUGAGUAAUACAUCGGAACGUGCCCAAUCGUGGGGGCUAACGUAGCGAAAGCUACGCUAAUACCGCAUACGAUCUAAGGAUGAAAGCGGGGCAUCGCAAGCCCUCGCGCGAUUGGAGCGGCCGAUGGCAGAUUAGGUAGUUGGUAGGGUAAAGGCCUACCAAGCCGACGAUCUGUAGCUGGUCGGAGAGGAUGAUCAGCAACACUGGGACUGAGACACGGCCCAGACUCCUACGGGAGGCAGCAGUGGGGAAUUUUGGACAAUGGACGCAAGUCUGAUCCAGCCAUUCCGCGUGCAGGAUGAAGGCCCUCGGGUUGUAAACUGCUUUUGUACAGAACGAAAAGGCUCUGGUUAAUACCUAGGGCUCAUGACGGUACUGUAAGAAUAAGCACCGGCUAACUACGUGCCAGCCGCCGCGGUAA